UACGUAGGGUGCAAGCGUUUGUCCGGAAUUAUUGGGCGUAAAGAGCGUGUAGGCGGCCUGAAAGGUCAGCUGUGAAAACUCAAGGCUCAACCUCGAGACGUCGGUUGAAACCAUCUGGCUAGAGUCCGGAAGAGGAGUGUGGAAUUCCCGGUGUAGCGGUGAAAUGCGCAGAUAUCGGGAAGAACACCCGUGGCGAAGGCGGCACUCUGGGACGGUACUGACGCUGAGACGCGAAAGCGUGGGGAGCGAACAGGA
RNAcentral lists this ribosomal RNA (255 nucleotides) under uncultured bacterium. Its description in RNAcentral is "partial 16S ribosomal RNA". It matches the Rfam family "Bacterial small subunit ribosomal RNA", at positions 524 to 777 of the family's 1533-position model. The record is from RNAcentral.